GAUGAACGCUGGCGGCGUGCCUAAUACAUGCAAGUCGAGCGAACGGACGAGAAGCUUGCUUCUCUGAUGUUAGCGGCGGACGGGUGAGUAACACGUGGAUAACCUACCUAUAAGACUGGGAUAACUUCGGGAAACCGGAGCUAAUACCGGAUAAUAUUUUGAACCGCAUGGUUCAAAAGUGAAAGACGGUCUUGCUGUCACUUAUAGAUGGAUCCGCGCUGCAUUAGCUAGUUGGUGAGGUAACGGCUUACCAAGGCAACGAUGCAUAGCCGACCUGAGAGGGUGAUCGGCCACACUGGAACUGAGACACGGUCCAGACUCCUACGGGAGGCAGCAGUAGGGAAUCUUCCGCAAAGGGCGAAAGCCUGACGGAGCAACGCCGCGUGAGUGAUGAAGGACUUCGGAUCGUAAAACUCUGUUAUUAGGGAAGAACAUAUGUGUAAGUAACUGUGCACAUCUUGACGGUACCUAAUCAGAAAGCCACGGCUAACUACGUG
Molecule: ribosomal RNA, 497 nt
Filed under: uncultured bacterium
Lineage: Bacteria
Description: partial 16S ribosomal RNA
Rfam family: Bacterial small subunit ribosomal RNA
Source: RNAcentral